GUCAGGCUGGUCUUGACCUCCUGAACUCAAGCAAUCCACCUCCCUUGGCCUCCCAAAGUCCCGGGAUUACAGGCAUAGUGACUGCAUCUAUCCAACUGUGGAUUUGUUUUUAAAAAAACUAUCUUAAGCACUAAAACUGAGAAAAACCUAAAAUAGAAUUGAGGUGUUAUAAAAAGUGAUUGAAGGUAACUAGAGCCCAGGAAAAACAAGACAUGCAGUAGAAAAGUGGUUAUAAACUGGAGCCUGAAUAAGCACACAGAAGAGCUUUUAACCGCCAUGUUCUAGACAAGCAUUUUAGAGUCAUGGGAUCUUCUAGAGGUGAGUAAACUAAAGAAUAGGUAUAAAGCAUCACAAGGUAGCAAGAAGAACUUACCUGCCCAUUUUGCUCUGAUGAGUGCUCAGACAGCUCAGAUCACAGUUUCCUGUCAAACAAUGGUAAUUCUUUAAAACAAACAUUUAAGGCUCCUAUUUUUUAUCUGAUGUUAGCAAUUGUUAUGAACUAGAAAAGGUGUGGAGUUGUACUGAAAGUUUCUUGCAUUGGGUUUCCUUCUACAUAAGGGAAACUUAGCAAAACUGUAAGCAGGGCUGAUUAAAAAGGAUUCAUUCAAUAUUGAUUAGUGUGCUAGCAGAUAUUCUAUGUGCUGGGUGUUAAUUUAAAAAGCAAGACAGUCCUUAAGGAUUUCACAGUCUAGCAGAAGUGGCAAAUAACGAGAGCUUCACAAUACAGUGUGCUAUGUAAUAAAAUAUGUAGGAACAGAAUGUUGUGGGAGAAUAGAAAAAGCUAUAGUGAGGAAAUGUUUCAGAGUGAUGACCUUUAGAAGGAGUUUUCUUGGCAAAGAAGGGAACUGAUGUACAGAAAAGGCAGGGUAUCAAAAUAUGCAAAGAAAAGGAAUUGGAAGGCCAAGCACAGUGGCUCAUGCCUAUAAUUCCUGUGCUUUGGGAGGCUGAGGCUAGAGGCUUGCUUGAGGCCAGGAAUACAAGGUUACUGUGAGCUACGAUCGCAUCACUGCACUCCAGCCUGGGCAACAGAUUGAGACCCUGUUUCUUUAAAAAGAAAAGAAAAAUUGGAGAUGUACAUAGCAUAUGUAGACUGGAAAACAUACAUUCAUUGGGACUGUAAUGGAGAUGCUAAGUCAGGGCGGGAUUUGUAGGAGGUAAGGCCUGAAAAGAUAGAAUGAAGCCAGAUGGUGAAGGAAAUCUAUUUUGUUGGCAUUGGACAGAUGUAACAAAGAUCUCUAAGCAAUGAAUUAAUCUGGUUGGAUUUGGUUUUUAGUAUAAAGCUUAUGGCAACUUGGAGGAUGAAAAUAGAAUGUAGGAUAUAUGAUGACAUGCAUUCCUUGAAGGUUUUCAAAUUAGUCCGGGUGGAAGAUGAUAAGAGCCAAAACCUGUUACAUUUGAAAUGAAGAACAAGGCUAUCUUGAGGAAAUAUUGAAGUAAAACUAGAACAGUUUGGUGAAAAAUUGAAUGUGGAUAUGAAGGAAAAAUUAAGGCUAACUCACUAAAGUUUCCAUUUGAAGAAGUGAUGAUUAGAUGAAUUCAUGUGGGAAAGUAUGAGAUGAGACAAACAUGCUGAGGAACUACAUGAGUAUAUGUUGAGUUUAUAGUACUAAAAGACAUCUAGGUGACAGUGGUUGGUACAUUGUUAGAGCUUAGGAUAUAUAAAGUUGUGAAAAGUAAACCUAGGAAAACCAUAAGGAGGGGGAAUUCUGGGAACUAGUAGAUGAGAUGACCCUGGAGAUGAAAAGCUAAGUGCUAGCAGUAAUAGUAGUAGUAAUGAUAGUGCUAACUGUUAUUAAAUGGCUAUUACAUUAGGCAUUGAGCAAAGAGCUUCACAUGCAUUUCUUCAUUUCAUCCUCAUAGGAAUUCUGUUACCCCAUUUCUAGAUGAGAAAAUUGAGGCUUAGUGAUUUACCCAAGAUCAUACAGGUAGGAAGUGGUAGUACUGUAGAACAGAUUUGUCCUAAACAAUAUGAAAGAUAUCUUGAGCCCACAGACUGUACCACUGUACCAUACUGCAUUUUAUUUAAAAUGUCUCCUAGAAAAUACUUCAUGAUGUUCAUUUGAUACAUAUAAUGGGAAUGCAUAAAUUUAUAUAGCAUAUCUCAAUUCCAAAGAAACAAAAGUAUAGGGGCAUCUCUAACAGAUUUCAAUAAUUAUAAAAAAAGCAACCUAAGUUUAUCUCUAGUUGUAUCAGUCCAUUCUCAUGGACUAAUGACUAAUGAGGAGGCCUCAGGAAACUUACAGUCAUGCAAUCAUGACGGAAGGGAAAGCAUUCUUAGGGAAGUCCAUUCUCAUGGACUAACACAACUAGAGAUAUAUUUAGGGUGCUUUUUUAUAAUUAAGCUGCUAUGAAGAAAUGCCCAAGACUUGGUAAUUUGUAAAGGGAAAAGAUUUAAUUGACUUAUAGUUUCACAGGGCUGGGGAGGCCUCAGGAAACUUACAAUCAGGCAAUCGUGACAGAAGGGAAAGCAGACAUCCUUCUUCACAUGGUAGCAGGAGAGAGAAGUACUGAGCAAAAAUUGAAAAGUGCCUUAUAAAACCAGCAGAUCUCAUGAGAACUCACUCACUAUCACAAGAACAGCAGCACUGGUGGUAACUGCCUCCAUGAUUGAGUUACCUCCCAUGGAGUCCUUCCCAUGACUUGUGGGGAUUGCGGGAACUACAAUUCGAGAUUUGGGUGGGAACACAGCCAAAUCAUGUCAUUCUAUUCCUGGCCCCUUCCAAAACUCACGCCCUCACUUUUCAAAACACAAUCAUGUCUUCCCAACAGUCCCUCAAAGUCUUAACUCAUUCCAACAUUAAUCCAAAAGUUCGAGUUCAAAGUCUCACCUGAUACAAGGCAAAUUCCUUCUACCUGUGAGCAUGUAAAGUUAAGAGCAAGUUAGUUACUUCCUAGAUACAGUGGAUGUACAGGCAUUGGGUAAAUAUGCAUGUUCCAAAUGGGAGAAAUUGACCAAAACAAGGGACUACAGGCCCUAGGCAAAUCUGAAAUCCAGUAGGGUCAUUAUUAAACAUUAAAGUUCCAAAAUGAUUUCCUUUGAUUUCAUGUCUCACAUCCAGGUCAUGCUUAUACAAGAGGUGGGCUCCCACAGGCUUCGAUAGCUCUGCUCCUGUAGCUUUGCAGGGUACAGCCCCACUCCUGGCUCUUUUCAUGGGCUGAUAUUGAGUGUCUGUGGCUAUUCUAGGCACACAGUGCAAGCUGUUGGUGGAUCUAUCUCUGGAGGAUGGUGGCCCUCUUCUCACAGCUCCAUGAGCAGUAUCCCAGUGGAGACUCUGUAUGGGGGCUCUGAACUCACCUAUCCCUUCCUCAAUGCCCCAGCAGAAGUUCUCCAUGAGGGCUCUGCCUCUGCAGCAGACUUCUGCUUGGACAUUCAGGCCUUUUCAUGCAACCUCUGAAAUCUAGGCGGAGGGUCCCAAACCUCAGUUCUUGACUUCUACAUACCCAUAGGCCCAAUACCACAUGGAAAUCACAAAGGCUUGGGGCUUACAACCUCUGAAGCAGUGACCUGAGCUGUAUGUUGGCCCUAUUUAGCCACGGGUGGAGUAGCUGAGACACAGGGCACCAAGUCCCAAGGCUGCUCACAGCAGGGGGGGCUGUGGACCUGACCCAUUAAACCAUUUUUCCCUCUCAGGCCUCCAGGCCUAUGAUGGGAAGGGCUGCCAUGAAAAUCUCAGACAUGACCUGGGGACAUUUUUCCCAUUGUCUUGGCAAUUAACAUUUGGCUCCUUAUUACUUAGGCAGAUUUCCGCAGCCACUGAAUUUCUCCCCAGAAAUUUUUUUUUCUGUCACAUCAGGCUGCAAAGUUUUCAACCUUUUAUGCUCUGCUUCCUUUUGAACACUUUGCUGCUUAGAAAUUUCUUCUGUCAGAUACCCUAAAUUACCUCCCUCAAGUUCAGAGUUCCACAGAUAUCUAGGGCCGGGGCAAAAUGCCACUAGGCUCUUUGCCAAAGCAUAACCAGAGUGACCUUUGCUUUAGUUUUCAACAAGUUUCUAAUCUCCAUCUGAGAACACCUCAGCCUGGACUUCAUUGUUUAUAUCACUAUCAGCAUUUUGGUCAAAACCAUUCAAUAAGUCUCUAGGAAGUUUCAAACUUUCCUACGUCUUCCUUCUUCCUCUGCACCCUCUAAACUGUUCCAAUCUCUGCCUGUUACCCAGUUCCAAAAUUGUUCUUCAUUUUUAGGUAUCUUUACAACAGUGCCCCACUACCCAGCACCAAAUUACUGUGUUAGUCCAUUGUCAUGUUGCUAUGAGGAAGUACCUGAGAGUGGGUUGUUUAUAAAGGAAAGAGGUUUAAUUGACUCACAGUUCCACAUGGCUGGGGAGUUCUUAGGAAAUUUACAAUCAUGGUGGAAGAGGAAGUACAAUCAUAGCGGAAGGAGAAGCAGACACGUUCUUCUUCACAGGGUGGCUGGAGAGAGAAAUGCUGAACAAAGAGGCCAAAGCCCCUUAAACUGUAAGAUGUCCUGAGAACUCGCUCACUAUCACAAUAACAUUAGCAUGGGGGUAACCACCCUUAUGAUUCAGUUACCUCCCACUGUGGGGAACUGUUACCCAGUUCCAAAAUUGCUUCCACAUUUUUGGGUAUCUUUCAACAGUGCCCCACUACUGAGUACCAAAUUACUAUGUUAGUCUGUUCUCAUGCUGCUAUGAAGAAGUACCCUAGUAUCCUUCCCACCACACAUGGGGAUUAUGGGAACUACAAUUCAAGAUGAGAUUUGAGAGAGAACACAGCCAAACCAUAUCACUAGUGGUAACAUUUCUCAAAUUGGCUAGUCAAAACACUGAAAGUAGAAAGCAAGUCUCCUAACAUAUAGUACAAUUAGAUGGGUUUCUUCUUUUUUUUUUUUAUUUUUUUUCAUUUUUUGAUGAACUAAGCAGGGUCAACAUACUCUAAUUGGGAGUAUUUUAAUAAUUU
Sapajus apella (tufted capuchin) is the source of this 4915-nucleotide long non-coding RNA. RefSeq lists it as uncharacterized. NCBI's taxonomy places the organism in Eukaryota, Metazoa, Chordata, Mammalia, Primates, Cebidae. The record is from RefSeq and is a predicted model, not a curated record. The transcript has 2 exons.